This 253-nucleotide ribosomal RNA is filed under the name uncultured bacterium. Its description in RNAcentral is "partial 16S ribosomal RNA". It matches the Rfam family "Bacterial small subunit ribosomal RNA", at positions 524 to 776 of the family's 1533-position model. The record is from RNAcentral.
UACGUAGGGGGCGAGCGUUGUCCGGAUUUAUUGGGCGUAAAGAGCGUGUAGGCGGCCAGGUAGGUCUGCUGUGAAAACUCGAGGCUCAACCUCGAGACGUCGGCGGAAACCAUCUGGCUAGAGUCCGGAAGAGGAGAGUGGAAUUCCUGGUGUAGCGGUGAAAUGCGCAGAUAUCAGGAAGAACACCAAUGGCGAAAGCAGCUCUCUGGGACGGUACUGACGCUGAGACGCGAAAGCGUGGGGAGCGAACAGG